Molecule: long non-coding RNA, 1433 nt
Organism: Cuculus canorus (common cuckoo)
Lineage: Eukaryota; Metazoa; Chordata; Aves; Cuculiformes; Cuculidae
Exons: 5
Source: RefSeq, a predicted model, not a curated record
GAAUCCAGCUUUAAGUCCAUCUUUCAAGUAUUUCAGCUAUGGACAAAUACCAGUGGGAGAAGGUCCAGUCUGGGUUAAGAUAGGGUGGCAGUUCUCCUGCAUUAGAAGAAAAUAAGAAGGAAUGCCAAAAGAACAAGAAAAUAUACUAGCAUCAUGCUGACUUCAGUGACCAUCCAGUGCUUAACGUUCUUGCAAGACAUCUGCUUUGCUCUCUGCUGUAUGCAGCCACCUGGAACAAGACAACGGAAUAUUCACAUAGAGAGAAAUGGAGCUAUUCCGGAGCAUGAGUCAUCUUAUACUACGCAUCUAAGAUGUACAAGGUGAAACCUCCUGGAGAAAGCUUUUUUUCUUGAAUGUCAGUGAGGAAAGCACUGGCGCAGUCUGACUUAGUCUAACUUUUAAAUAUUUAAGUGAAGUGAGGUAUGACCUACUUCAUAUUUUCCAAGAUAAACAGGGAGACAUCAAAUUUACUCUCCAGCUGACUGGUUCAUGACGUUCAUUAAGUCAUUUCCCCAGAAGCAAAUAUUAGUAACACUUUCAAAAAGAAUGGAUUUUGGAAACAAUGGUUUGGAGAUGUCUCUGUACAAUCUUAAAAGCCUAAGUAAAUUAAAAGUAAAAAAAAAAAAAAUGAUCUCUGGCCAAAUGUUCAAGCACACCUGCUACUAGGUACUACUUAGACAGAGAGAGUGGGUACUUAGAUCCCUGUUUAUGCUUUUACUCAGGAUGAGCUCUAAUACUUUCGCAAAAUAAUAGUCACCACCAGGUUUUAAUUCUGAGUGAUACCAGCCUGUAAGAAAUUAUUGUUCAACUCCAAAAGAAAUGGAAGUGGAAACUUCUUUUUUUUUUUUCCAUUCAAGUUAAAUGCACCCUAAAUUAUAAAAAUCUAAAUUGAGAAAUGGAAAAAAACUAUGUAUGAGUAGUACACCUUCCCAUAGUCAUUUAAGAGAAGUAGGUAUUUAAAUACAGCUUUUUUUUUUAAUAAAUUAGAACUGGAAUUGUUUAGUUUAGGUUUUAUAUAUUUGUUACAUCAUAUUUUUAACUAAGUAUGAGUUUAAUCAUCAAAAUCACAUGACAAUAUGCCUUUCUUAUGAGGAAUUAUAAAGAUUAAUUUAGGCCUCUGGUUUUAUGUCAUAUGUUAUCUUUACAAAAUGCAGAGGUAAUUAGAAUUGGCAGGAUAAGAAAAUCUAUAAAGCAGUCUCUUUUGUUCUAAGCAAAAAAAAUUAGGCAGGUGUCACAGUAGACUGAAAAAAGAAAUUCUCAUACCUUAUAAAACUACUUGCAGGAAUAAUUCAGAUUCGUAUCUCUGAAGCCCUAGUAAAUCACAUACAAAAAUAAUUGUCUCCUUCACAUUGUAGGAAUACAGAUUUACUGAACUCUUUUAACAGUUGAUAAAAAUCUCAUGCUUUAGUCCAUCUGAUAAUUCUCCCUGUUGA